CAGGACCCUGGGAUCAUGACCUGAGCUGAAGGCAGAGGCUUUAACCCACUGAGCCACCCAGGUGCCCCUAGAAUCUAAACUCUUAACCACGACCCUGCAAUAUCUCAUUUAACCUCUGGGACAGUGCUGUCCAAUAGACCUUUCUGCAGACCGUGGCACAUUUGCCCCCGCUGUGUAGUAGCCCCUGGCUGCCUGUGGCUCACAUAGUAGGUGCUAUGUUUUCCCUCCAUUUAGUCCUGAAGAAAAUGAAGGUGAAGUGACUCUUAAGAUCAGAAAAGCUGUUUCUGUCUGAACCCCUGUGGUUAGGCUCUUUGCUGUGCGACUGUGGGACUGUGGGCACGCCACUUAACCUGGGCUGGUUCAUUCCUCUCAGAAGAUCUGCUCUGCCUGCCUCUGGGUCAUAAGAUAAUCUAGAGAAGUUCCACCUGAUUAAAAUGCAUUUGUUACACAUGAACAAAGACCCUAGCUCCCCAGUAGCUAUAGAUCUGUUGUUGAACAGGCGUGACUAUCCUGAAGGCACUCAGGCUCAGCGAGGUGAAGCGCUUGCCCGAGACCUUGACUGGUGCUUACCGGCGCAGGUCCAGCUGGGUGCGCAGCGCCUUCCCCCGGAGUGCCAUCUUGGCGCUGAGACGGGCGUCCUACAGGCAAGGGGGUUGGGGCAGGGUUACUGACCCACGGGGUCCGCAGCAUGCUCAUCCCGACCCUCAGUACCCCCGCUCUAAUGUCCGCACCAUGAUCAUGCUGGACAGCUGGACCUCGGGCUGGUCAGGCGGGACCAGGGCUAUGGUGACACUGGCAGUGACGGAGACCGUGCUCCCCGAGGGCUUGAUGGUGCAGCGAGGUGGGGCCAGGACGCGCAGCUCCAGCUUCAGCGGGGAGUCGAUCACUGCUGGGCUCUGGGGACAGAGUGUGGGGGGGAGGUGGGGGUGGUCCCAGAUCUGCUCCCUGAUGAGCUCCAGGAGGGAACAUGGGGUGGCUCUGGCUCUGCCUGCUGGGAGCCCAGACCCGCAAAUAACGAGGACUGGUGUGGCUUCCCAGACCCUUCAGAACUGUACCCAGCCUCUGUGCCUUUGCUCACGUGAGGGAUGGAAUGUCUCCUUCUAAUGCUUUCCUGAGUUCUUGCUAGUGGGGAUCUAUAGCCAGCCAGACUCCUCCGGGACAGUGUUUGCAUCAGAUAUCCCCACCCUCUGCCGUAUCAUCCUUUGCUCUGCACUGCUCUGCUCUUUCCCGUGUAGGCACUGACCAAUAUUUUGCCCGUGUUAGCUCAUUCAGACCUCAUCAUAACCAUGUGAGGCAGGCAUUAUCAUGCUCACCUUGGAGAUGGGGAAACCAAGGCACGGAGAAGUUAAGUAACUUGUCGAAGGUUCUGGAGUUAUCCAGGUGCAGACCCUGGGAUGCAGACCUGGGCAGUCUGGCCAGAGAGUCCGUGACCCUCCCCCACCACCUGGCCAUCAGGCAGCUGGUGACGAUGGGGAUGACAGCAGCAGGGACGGCCGCUAGUGUUUCCUGAGCAGUUAACCUGCGCCAGGGGCUGCUCUGAUUUCUUUACGUGAAUUAAUUCAGUUAAUCCUCAGUGACAGCCCUCGGAGGCUGUAUAGUGUAGAAGAGAUUAAGGGCAAGCCCUCUAACGAUCACUGAGAUACUUUUUAGAUUGUGACCUCCCAACCCUCUUCCCAUGAAACAAGGGGAAAUCAUAAGGCAAAAGAAGAAUACAUCAGGGGCGUCUGGCUGGCUCAGUCAGUAGAGCAUGGGACGCUUAAUUGUGAGGGUAAUGAGCUCGAGCCCCACGAUGGGCAUAGAGAUUAUUUUAAAAAAUUAACUUAAAAAAAGAAUACAUUGGUCAUUGUUAGAGUCCCUACGCUUAGAGAGCUUGGGUUCUCAGCCUGUGCUCCUCCUAGCUUCAUGAAGAAGUAGCAAGGGCCCUUCACAGACCUGAAAUCGACCUUGACAAACAAGAGAACUUAGCCACAGGCGAGACGUCGGGCCUUCUGUCUACUGCUCAGUGGCUGUGGGGGCCUCUGCCUGUACAGCUCACGCGUCCCCUUGCUGGUGUGCAGGUGGUAUGGCCGCCCACCCUGGCCUCGUCCCUACCUCCUGCCAACACUCACCAGUAGGACAAUGCUCCCAAAGUAGGUGGCUCUCAGCAGCAUGUCCAGAUCGUGGGGCACCUGCAGAGGGGAAGAAGAUGAGGCAGGGUUAUCGGGAGUUUCGGACAGGUCCCCUCUUGGCCAUCUGGCAGACAGACCCCGACAUACCUUGUCCCCCACCAGGGACAGCUUCAGGGCUUCCGCCCGGAAGUAACUUUCCAUGGCAGAGUCAAAGAAGAACUCCGAGAAGGCCACGUACACCAUCCGCUCCUCCUCCUGCAGCUGGGGCUCUACCGCCCGGUUGGGCAGGCUCCAGUUCCCCUCAGCCAGAGGAAAGAAGGCCCCCUACAGUUGGGGGAUCAGGGUCAGCCUGGCCCAGCACCCAGAUCUUCCCACGUCCGGUGCCAGGCCCUGUGAGGGUUGGACCCAGUUGCUAUCUUUAGGGGUCUUAUUAGCACAACUUCUUCUUUUAAGUUGUAUUUAUUUAACUAAUCUCUCCUCCCAACAUGGGGCUUGAACUCACAACCCCAAGAUUCAGAGUCGCAUGCUCUACCAACACCCCACCAGGUGCCCUCGUUGUCAGCACAACUCCUAAAAAGUCAUUCAGAGGAGGGCAGCUGGAGUUCUGCAAGGGAGCACUCCCAUUAGGCCAGAGAAGGGACACCCAGGAGAGGGACUUGGGGAGGAGGUGGCUUGUGAGUGGGUCUUGAAAGAUACAGAGCAGGAGUGAGAAAAGCUGCUGUUGACAUUUAUAUAGAUUAUGUGCAUAGAGCUGUUAUGUCCAACUGCUUCAGGGGAGGUGGGAAAGGGCAGCACACGAGCAAAGGCCCUGAGGCAGGAAGCCAGGGGCAUAUUUGGGAAAGAAUGAGUGCAGAGAAACAGGGUGAAGUCAGAAAGGUGGAGCCAGACAAGGUUAACCAGGCUCAGAAGCCAGACUCAGGGGUUGAACCGAAUUCUGCAGGCCAUGGAGGUCCACUCAGCAGUGGAGUGGCCCAGAGCUGUGCCUUCAGAGGACAAAAUGAGCAAUGCCGGUGAACGAGGAGGAGGUCUGGUUAGGUCAGAGACACCACAGCAGCCAGGCAGCUCACCCGGAAGUCCAUGUCCAGGUUGCUGUCGGAAGCGACGGGGUCCUUCAGGAGGGAGUAGUCGAUGCCAACCAGCUCAUCCACAGAGCUGCGAACUGUGGGAAGCACAGUCACUCAAGCUGCGUUCACCCUUCUGGGCCUAUUUCUCAUCCACAACACGGUGAUUAGAAAUCCUCCCUCGUAGGGUUGUUGUGGGGAUCAAAUCGGUUUUACGCGGGAAGCAGUCAGUGCUCAGCCAUAUUAGCGACCACUGCUGCCAUCGCCACCCCUAUGGCAAGGGCUCCGUGAGAUCACUGAGCAAGACGGCAAGGGAUUCUUUUCCCUCAUUGUUCUGCAUGCCCUGUGUGGGGGGCGUGAUGAUCUCUACCCCACAGCAGGCAGAGGUCAUGGCAGGAAAAGGGAAUUCGUGUUAGUUGAACACCUGUUAAGUGCAAGGGAUGAAUACAGAGGAGCUCCCAGUGAUCAGCAAGUCCAUAUCGAGGACCUGGACAGUCAUCGCUCAGUUACUAGUUCCAACAACCCCCACAAGGAGGCAUCGGCAGCCAAGCGAAGACAACAGGGCCCAGAGAGAGGUGAGUACUUACGUAGGGCCAUGUGGCCAGUCAGCAGCAGAGGCCCUAUUUGAGGCCAGGGCAUGGCAGGGGACUAUUCUGAGGCCCUGCCUGGCAGCUGCACACCUGGCCCCCUCCUCACCCCCAGUCCAGUCCCAGGCAUGGCCCGGAGCUUCCCACCCGGCCAGCACCAACUCACCAGGCACAGUGUCCAGGAGUGAAUUGAGGAGCACCGUCCCUGCGUGGUAAAGCACAGGGCAGAUCUGCGAGGUGGGGUCUAGAGUCAGGGCCUUCCAAAGAGAGGAGGGCACCCCACACACACACUACUGCUGUACCUGCUGGUUCAGGAGAAAGCGCAUCCCCGAGAUGAUGAAUGUGGAGAGGAACUCAUACACCUUCCUGCAAGGAGGGGAGAGACCACGUGAGCCCAGACUCUGCCCUACCCCAAUCCAGGUCCAGGAGAAAUCACUAGCCUGAGAGAUGGGGAGGAGGUGGCUCAGCUUUACUGUAUUACCACCUCUUUAAUGGAGGGUUUCCAAAUCCCCUCUCUAGCCUUAUUCUCAAGACCUAACCCCUGCCCCCCACGAGCCCCCUGAAUUUACCCCCAGUUCUUCAAACCUGCUGUAAGCAUCCCCACUUCCAGAUGCUUACUCAUACCCUCCCUUCCACCCUCAGCGUUCCUGUCCUGUAUGUCCCCCUGUAUAGGCUCAGAUGCUUCCUCUUCCAGGCAGUCUUCCCAGAUUACCCUCUUCUGAACCCAGGGAGGACUCAGUUCCUCCCUCAAAGCCCCAAUAACAAAUAUUUUGUCCCUUCAGCUAGGCUCUGAGUUCCUUUAUGAAUCCUCAAGUACUUACAUAUACGUUAUUUAAUAAAUAAAAACUUGGCAGUAUACCAACACCAGAUGAUAAAUCCACCACCUUUUCUUUCCCACUCUCUUUGAGAACAAUCACUAAGUCCCCUUCUCAGCCCCAAACCUGAAAUUAUGCUCUUGUUUUUAUCAGUGGUAGUGAGGGCUACAAAUUACUGAGUUCAUGUCCAGCUGCACAUACUGAUCCUCACAAUUACUCUUAUCUAGGAAGCUAGCCACUAACAUGCCAGUCACUGUUCUAAAUAUUUGUACAUAUAUUAACAAACAGUCUUCAGAACAUAAAAUUAUAAAAUAGUUCCUAUUAUCAUCCUCAUCUCACCAAUGAGGAAAUUGAGGCACAGAGCUUCAGUGACUCGACCAAGGUCACACACUCGACCAAGGGAAAUGAGGAUGCUGAGAGUUGGACCCUGUUGACCUGGUUCCCAAGUCUGUGCACUUUGCAUCGUACUAGGCAGUAAGCUCAAAGGGGGGUGCCCUGGGUUGGAGAUCGGGCUUACUUGAAGGUUCCCCCGAAGGCUGCGUGCAUUCUGGAGACCGAGGCCUGGCAGGAGACAUUGGACACUUUGAUGCGGCCAUUGGCAUCCCGGGAGAGCUGCAGAGCAGUGCGGAUAGACACACCCUCGGCAGAGGCAUUGAUGUAGCCCCCAUCAUA
Long non-coding RNA from Mustela erminea (ermine), 5243 nucleotides. RefSeq lists it as uncharacterized. The transcript is spliced from 2 exons. The record is from RefSeq and is a predicted model, not a curated record. Lineage: Eukaryota; Metazoa; Chordata; Mammalia; Carnivora; Mustelidae.